GGCCGACUAGCUCAGCUGGUUAGAGCGUCGUGCUAAUAUACGACAUGCUGGAUAUUCUGUUAACGCGAAGGUCUUGGGUUCGAUCCCCACGUUGGCCA
This is a non-coding RNA of Crucibulum laeve, 98 nucleotides long. The record is from the annotation of a GenBank genome assembly. NCBI's taxonomy places the organism in Eukaryota, Fungi, Basidiomycota, Agaricomycetes, Agaricales, Nidulariaceae.